AGCCCCGUAGUGUAGCGGUCCAUCAUACGUGGCUCUGGACCACGUGACCCUGGUUCAAAUCCGGGCGGGGCUACCA
RNAcentral lists this transfer RNA (76 nucleotides) under Methanobacteriota archaeon. Its description in RNAcentral is "Euryarchaeota archaeon tRNA-Gln". It matches the Rfam family "tRNA". From Rfam's summary of the family: Transfer RNA (tRNA) molecules are approximately 80 nucleotides in length. Their secondary structure includes four short double-helical elements and three loops (D, anti-codon, and T loops). Lineage: Archaea; Methanobacteriati; Methanobacteriota. RNAcentral also lists the same sequence under 1 other name. The record is from RNAcentral.